UACGUAGGGCGCAAGCGUUGUCCGGAAUUAUUGGGCGUAAAGAGCUCGUAGGCGGUUUGUCGCGUCUGCUGUGAAAAUCCGGGGCUCAACCCCGGACUUGCAGUGGGUACGGGCAGACUAGAGUGUGGUAGGGGAGACUGGAAUUCCUGGUGUAGCGGUGAAAUGCGCAGAUAUCAGGAGGAACACCGAUGGCGAAGGCAGGUCUCUGGGCCACUACUGACGCUGAGAAGCGAAAGCAUGGGGAGCGAACAGG
RNAcentral lists this ribosomal RNA (253 nucleotides) under uncultured bacterium. RNAcentral describes it as "partial 16S ribosomal RNA". It matches the Rfam family "Bacterial small subunit ribosomal RNA", at positions 524 to 776 of the family's 1533-position model. The record is from RNAcentral.